Molecule: ribosomal RNA, 891 nt
Filed under: Gymnopilus cf. penetrans
Lineage: Eukaryota; Fungi; Basidiomycota; Agaricomycetes; Agaricales; Galerinaceae
Description: partial large subunit ribosomal RNA
Rfam family: Eukaryotic large subunit ribosomal RNA
Source: RNAcentral
ACUAACAAGGAUUCCCCUAGUAACUGCGAGUGAAGCGGGAAAAGCUCAAAUUUAAAAGCUGACGGUCUUUGGCCGUCCGCAUUGUAAUCUAGAGAAGUGUUACCCGCGUUGGACCGUGUACAAGUCUCCUGGAAUGGAGCAUCAUAGAGGGUGACAAUCCCGUCUUUGACACGGACUCCCAAGGCUUUGUGGUGCGCUCUCAAAGAGUCGAGUUGUUUGGGAAUGCAGCUCAAAAUGGGUGGUAAAUUCCAUCUAAAGCUAAAUAUUGGCGAGAGACCGAUAGCGAACAAGUACCGUGAGGGAAAGAUGAAAAGAACUUUGGAAAGAGAGUUAAACAGUACGUGAAAUUGCUGAAAGGGAAACGCUUGAAGUCAGUCGCGUCGUCCGGAGAUCAACCUUGCUUUUGCUGGGCGUACUCUCUGGUUGACGGGCCAGCAUCAGUUUUGGCCACUGGAAAAGGGCGGAAGGAAUGUGGCAUCUUCGGAUGUGUUAUAGCCUUCCGUCGUAUACAGUGGCUGGGACUGAGGAACUCAGCACGCCGCAAGGCCGGGAUUUUAUCCACGUUCGUGCUUAGGAUGCUGGCAUAAUGGCUUUAAUCGACCCGUCUUGAAACACGGACCAAGGAGUCUAACAUACCUGCGAGUGUUUGGGUGGAAAACCCGAGCGCGUAAUGAAAGUGAAAGUUGAGAUCCCUGUCGUGGGGAGCAUCGACGCCCGGACCAGACCUUUUGUGACGGAUCUGCGGUAGAGCAUGUAUGUUGGGACCCGAAAGAUGGUGAACUAUGCCUGAAUAGGGUGAAGCCAGAGGAAACUCUGGUGGAGGCUCGUAGCGAUUCUGACGUGCAAAUCGAUCGUCAAAUUUGGGUAUAGGGGCGAAAGACUAAUCGAACC